Molecule: ribosomal RNA, 278 nt
Filed under: uncultured bacterium
Lineage: Bacteria
Description: partial 16S ribosomal RNA
Rfam family: Bacterial small subunit ribosomal RNA
Source: RNAcentral
UACUCCCGCCGGCGACCGGCGCACGGGUGAGUAACACGUAUGAAACCUGCCCGUAGCAGGGGGAUAAGCGGAAGAAAUUCCGUCUAAUACCGCGUAACAACCCGAGGAGGCAUCUCCUCGGGUUUAAAGGAAGCGAUUCCGGCUACGGAUGGUCAUGCGUCGCAUUAGCUAGUUGGCGGGGUAACGGCCCACCAAGGCGACGAUGUCUAGGGGUUCUGAGAGGAAGGUCCCCCACACUGGUACUGAGACACGGACCAGACUCCUACGGGAGGCAGCAG